RNAcentral lists this long non-coding RNA (310 nucleotides) under Ricinus communis (castor bean). RNAcentral describes it as "long non-coding RNA (RCOM_LNC001692)". The record is from RNAcentral. Lineage: Eukaryota; Viridiplantae; Streptophyta; Magnoliopsida; Malpighiales; Euphorbiaceae.
CGGACUGUGUUGUUGGGCCUGUUGGAUGAGCCUGUUGGCCCAUUUGUUGUCCCAACUGAGAUGGGCCGGACCCAGUGGAGUGGGCUUGGAAGCCAGUCGGGCCGGUCUCCAUCCAGGUCUGGUCAUCAUGCCGCUGGGUCGGGUUUGGUUGGGUGGAGAGCCAUUCGGACUCCAUAUAAAUUUCUUCUUUUCCCUCUUUUCUUAACCCUAGCCUCUCAUUUUUUUGGCUCUUACUUUCGGCAUGAAAGCUUCGGGUUCCUCCUCUCUUUUCUUCUCUCCCCCCUCGCCUUAAGUUGCCCGCGCCAACGCC